Long non-coding RNA from Canis lupus familiaris (dog), 429 nucleotides. RefSeq lists it as uncharacterized. The transcript has 5 exons. The record is from RefSeq and is a predicted model, not a curated record. NCBI's taxonomy places the organism in Eukaryota, Metazoa, Chordata, Mammalia, Carnivora, Canidae.
CGAAGAAUCACACGAAAUGCCACAAUUCUGGUGAUCAUCCAAAAAGUCGGAUGGGAAAUGAAAGCACCACGAAUGGCACCUUUUAAGAAGAUGGACGUUGGAAGAAGAAAAUAAUAAGCAAUAAUCCUACUUACAGUUUUUUCAAAUGAACAUUCUUCUCUAGAUAUGAAAAGGAAAAGACACAAAUAGACUUAAGUUUCAAGACUUCAGUAAUUGCAGAUGUGAUGGAAAGAGCAAGAGAACUAGCAUUAGAAGUGAAUCUGAAGAUGUCCCCACAUGUCUCAGUCAUUGGUAGUGUCUUCCUUCAUUAUAAAUGUGAUGACCCACGUUUCCUAUCUGCAUCCAACGUCAGCAAACUCAAGGUUUGAUCUUCAAGCAAGUAAAGGAUCUAACACGAAUGCUGUAUAUAAUUAAGUAGACAUGUAAAAU